Molecule: non-coding RNA, 282 nt
Organism: Cinara cedri
Lineage: Eukaryota; Metazoa; Arthropoda; Insecta; Hemiptera; Aphididae
Source: the annotation of a GenBank genome assembly
CAAAGUGAUGACAACCUAAGGUACUCGGUAGACCCUGGAUGAUCAAAGACCAUCUCUCCAAAAGAAAACGACAGUGGGAAAUAACGUGUUAUGCCCUAAGUAUGUAUAUUUCUACCUUCCCCCAUCAAUAUCUGAUUUCAUUAAUUUCUAUCGUUUAUGGUGUCCAUGUUUUUUUUUUUUGCUUUAGUGUCUACAAUAAAACAUAUUAAAUUGCAACAAUAUUAAUGAAACAAAAUUGUUUAUACUACGUGUUUAAUAAUAUCACGAAUACCAGGUACCAAA